GACGAACGCUGGCGGCGUGCUUAACACAUGCAAGUCGACCGAAGAGCAAUGAAAGCUUGUUCUAUCAUUCUAAGUGGCGACCGGUGAGUAACGCGUAAUCACCUUGCCUCCAGAGGGGACACUGUGGGAACCGACUGCUAAUACCGCAUACGAUCUACCUCGGCAUCGAGGAAAGAUGAAAGGUGGCCUCUAUUUAUAAGCUAUCACUGAAGGAGGGGAUUGCGUCUGAUUAGCUAGUUGGAGGGGUAACGGCCCACCAAGGCGAUGAUCAGUAGCCGGUCUGAGAGGAUGAACGGCCACAUUGGGACUGAGACACGGCCCAGACUCCUACGGGAGGCAGCAGUGGGGAAUCUUCCGCAAUGGACGAAAGUCUGACGGAGCAACGCCGCGUGAGUGAUGACGGCCUUCGGGUUGUAAAGCUCUGUUAAUCGGGACGAAAGGCCUUCUUGCGAAUAGUUAGAAGGAUUGACGGUACCGGAAUAGAAAGCCACGG
RNAcentral lists this ribosomal RNA (493 nucleotides) under Veillonella sp. oral taxon D88. RNAcentral describes it as "bacterial SSU rRNA". It matches the Rfam family "Bacterial small subunit ribosomal RNA", at positions 28 to 496 of the family's 1533-position model. The record is from RNAcentral. Lineage: Bacteria; Bacillati; Bacillota; Negativicutes; Veillonellales; Veillonellaceae.